AGGGCUAUAGCUCAGUUGGUAGAGCACCUCACCGAGAAGGUCUACGGUUCGAACCCGUAUAGCCCUA
Molecule: transfer RNA, 67 nt
Filed under: Rhynchotechum vestitum
Lineage: Eukaryota; Viridiplantae; Streptophyta; Magnoliopsida; Lamiales; Gesneriaceae
Description: tRNA-Val
Rfam family: tRNA
About the family: Transfer RNA (tRNA) molecules are approximately 80 nucleotides in length. Their secondary structure includes four short double-helical elements and three loops (D, anti-codon, and T loops).
Source: RNAcentral